UCCCUUUUAUAGAUGCAUUUUUCCUUUAAUUUCUUUCUCUUGAGCGAUGUGGGAAUGGAAACCUCAAAAAAUCUCAUUUCCUCGAGUGUACAAAGGAUAGUUAUUUCUCCUUGAUUCAGUUGCUUCAAUCUAGGAAGAUUCUUCUCCCUGAUUCCAACUCCGACGCCGUGUAAAGCUGAUUUUAACGAGGAACCUCAGUUUCCCGUCGACACAAACCUCAUAGGUUAGCUCUUCAAAACUGAUUCCAAUGGUAGUUUCAACUACUAAUCCAGAGCUCUCUGAUUGGUAUAAUACGCUUGUCGAUCUGUACCAAAGGAAGCCAUAAGCUAUCUGGAAGGGUUAAUGGGAAAUCGAGUUUCAGGCUUGGUGUUGAUAAAAAAAAUUUGCUGCUGUAAAUCAUCGUUAUUGCAAUUCCUGGAAGCAAGAUUCCAAUCCUGAUCAAACAAUAAAUACAGAAUAACUUUGAAGUUACCUCACAAAUGACAUACUUGGGUGAUGGGUUUUGUGGUGUGUGGUGUGUUUCGUGGGAACUGGAAGUCUUAUCUUUCUUGUCCUAGCAUCACCUUGAACAUUGUAAUUGAUGGAAAGUUAAUUCCUAAGUCAAAGGUUGAUUCUUUGAUAUUUCGAGGCUGCAAUGGCCGGUGAUGGUGAGUGAGGUGUUUUAAAUUCAUCAACAAAUUUGUUUUUUAGUUCUAUUUUCACGAGACCUGUAUAUUGUUAGUUUAAUCUAUAAAAUAUCUUAAUAAUGGUCAAUUUUAUUCAUAUUA
Long non-coding RNA from Lactuca sativa (garden lettuce), 767 nucleotides. RefSeq lists it as uncharacterized. The record is from RefSeq and is a predicted model, not a curated record. Lineage: Eukaryota; Viridiplantae; Streptophyta; Magnoliopsida; Asterales; Asteraceae.